AGUGAACGCUGGCGGUAGGCCUAACACAUGCAAGUCGAACGGCAGCACAGUAAGAGCUUGCUCUUACGGGUGGCGAGUGGCGGACGGGUGAGGAAUACAUCGGAAUCUACUUUUUCGUGGGGGAUAACGUAGGGAAACUUACGCUAAUACCGCAUACGACCUACGGGUGAAAGCAGGGGAUCUUCGGACCUUGCGCGACUGAAUGAGCCGAUGUCGGAUUAGCUAGUUGGCGAGGUAAAGGCCCACCAAGGCGACGAUCCGUAGCUGGUCUGAGAGGAUGAUCAGCCACACUGGAACUGAGACACGGUCCAGACUCCUACGGGAGGCAGCAGUGGGGAAUAUUGGACAAUGGGCGCAAGCCUGAUCCAGCCAUACCGCGUGGGUGAAGAAGGCCUUCGGGUUGUAAAGCCCUUUUGUUGGGAAAGAAAAGCAGCAGGUUAAUACCCCGCUGUUCUGACGGUACCCAAAGAAUAAGCACCGGCUAACUUCGUG
This 492-nucleotide ribosomal RNA is filed under the name uncultured bacterium. Its description in RNAcentral is "partial 16S ribosomal RNA". It matches the Rfam family "Bacterial small subunit ribosomal RNA", at positions 29 to 507 of the family's 1533-position model. The record is from RNAcentral.